GGACAAGUCACCGCGGAGAAAGCGGGGACGCAGCGGGGCAGGGACGACGUUACCGUGGGGACGCGGAGUUCAGUAAGCCACAAGCACGGAUUUGCAGUCCCGUAGCCCGAAGUCCUAAAUGGAUUCCGGUCUCCUUCUAUGCCUGUGUGACACCACUCAGUAGAUCCUGGUAAGUGUCCAUUGGAGUCAGAGGAAAGGGGUGUGAGCCGCAAAUAGCAGGGAGAUGUGUGUCACUUCCACACAGAGACAGAAUUUGUGCAGGGGCCAUCCACUAAGAAUAAACCAGCCACCCAAAACUCAUCCUCUAAGCAUGCUCCAGCCAUCCAAAACCCGUCCUCGAAGCAUGCGCCAGCCAACCAAAAGCCUGCCAGUGGGACGAAGGUAUGUGGCGUCUCUUGCAGGUACUCUCUGCUUCCAGAACAGUUGCUAGAGCCAGGUGCCAGGCUCACUGUCUCAGCGCUGUACCUCACAGUUCUCUAACAAUCCCCAUGUCUCAGCUCUGAAAGAAGACGCUCUCAUUGUCUCACAGCUGAUCAGCCACCAUCUAAGCCUGACCUCUACUGAGUGGAGGAUGUGGGGGAAAUGGGACACAAGGCAAGAUCUUCAGUCACAGAGUCUCCCAGGCACUGUGCUCCUUGCUCUCAGAGUCCUCCAAGGAGAGCCUGGAGCUGCGGCAAAUCGGUACCAGGGAAAACCUUUAGCUAAGUCAGGGUAGCUUCACCUCCUCAGGGCAGUGAGGUGUGUGGUCCUAGCCAGCAGUGUCAGCUGGCUGUGGGCUGUGGGUGCCGUGGACAGGUGAUAGCAGAGAUCCGGGCCUGCGGGUCCUCUCACCUGCCCCUCCCUCUGAAGCCUGCGCAGCCCAGGGUAGCCAGUGGACGGUGUGUCUGCUCUCUCUGUUCCUGCCAUUCCUGGCAGCCUCGUGCCUCAGGCUCAGCAGGAGUCUCCGCCUCUUCUGACUGCUCCUUAUUUCCACCUCUCCAUAUACAGCAUUCCACAUCAAAAUGAGGAAUGGAACAGGAAUCUCCUGAUCUGCCCAUGAGAGAGGACCUGUCUUCAAGAGAAUCAGCAGAAGACUUUAAAUAAAUAACUCUUAACCCCAUAUUUAACUGUACAAAAUUAAUAAAGAGAGCUUU
This is a long non-coding RNA of Alexandromys fortis (reed vole), 1133 nucleotides long. RefSeq lists it as uncharacterized. The record is from RefSeq and is a predicted model, not a curated record. The transcript is spliced from 3 exons. NCBI's taxonomy places the organism in Eukaryota, Metazoa, Chordata, Mammalia, Rodentia, Cricetidae.